CGCGUAGGCGGGAUGGCAAGUCGGUCGUGAAAUCCUUCGGCUCAACCGAAGAACGUCGAUCGAUACUGCUGUUCUUGAGGGUUGCAGAGGAGACUGGAAUUCCCGGUGUAGCGGUGAAAUGUGUAGAGAUCGGGAGGAACACCGGUGGCGAAGGCGGGUCUCUGGGCAAUUCCUGACGCUGAGGCGCGAAAGCGUGGGGAGCAAACGGGAUUAGAUACCCCGGUAGUCCACGCUGUAAACGAUGACGACUAGGUGUGGGGGGGGGUUCAGUCCCUUCCGUGCCGCAGCUAACGCAUUAAGUCGUCCGCCUGGGGAGUACGGCCGCAAGGUUGAA
This 334-nucleotide ribosomal RNA is filed under the name uncultured bacterium. RNAcentral describes it as "bacterial SSU rRNA". It matches the Rfam family "Bacterial small subunit ribosomal RNA", at positions 568 to 898 of the family's 1533-position model. The record is from RNAcentral.